RNAcentral lists this ribosomal RNA (253 nucleotides) under uncultured bacterium. Its description in RNAcentral is "partial 16S ribosomal RNA". It matches the Rfam family "Bacterial small subunit ribosomal RNA", at positions 524 to 776 of the family's 1533-position model. The record is from RNAcentral.
UACGAAGGGGGCUAGCGUUGCUCGGAAUCACUGGGCGUAAAGGGUGCGUAGGCGGGUCUUUAAGUCAGGGGUGAAAUCCUGGAGCUCAACUCCAGAACUGCCUUUGAUACUGAAGAUCUUGAGUUCGGGAGAGGUGAGUGGAACUGCGAGUGUAGAGGUGAAAUUCGUAGAUAUUCGCAAGAACACCAGUGGCGAAGGCGGCUUACUGGUCCGGUUCUGACGCUGAGGCGCGAAAGCGUGGGGAGCGAACCGG